GUGGGAGUCUUUUGCUGGAACUCUUUUGGAUCAGCUCUCCUUAAAUGCAUUAGCGGUUACUUGAUCCCCUUUCCUUGGUGUGAUAAUUAUCUACGCCUUUGAAAUGAUCAGCAUUGUAUCAGCUUCUAACCGUCCAUUGACUUGGACAACUUAAUUGACCAUUUGACCUCAAAUCAGGUAGGACUACCCGCUGAACUUAA
Molecule: unclassified non-coding RNA, 200 nt
Filed under: soil metagenome
Description: partial contains internal transcribed spacer 2 and large subunit ribosomal RNA
Source: RNAcentral